AUGAAUUAUUUGGGACUCUUGAGAUACUAUUGUCUAGGGUGUACAUUCAACAAAACCUCCACAAGAGUAAAUGAUGUGCUUUUUAUUUAUUUUUUAAAAAGAGCAGAAAUUUUUGAUCAAGGUGGAGAACCUUCUAGUUGUUCAAUAUUUAUAUAUUAUAUUUUCCCUCAUAAAUACACAUAUUAUACAACAAAAGACCAGACUACAGAAUGGCAGGGACUAAAGCUUGGGAAAAUGAACUUAAUUUUUGCUUAUUUGUCUUUAUGUAAAAAUGCAUGAGAUAGCUGUAUUUUCAGUGGUUCAAUGGUUUAGGUCUCUGGCUGCAGAGUGAGAGACUGGGAGUUCAAUUCAAUCCUGUGAGUGGAGCCAGCCUAUGUAGGAAUGGUAAAUUACAUCUGAGUAUUAUUUACCUGGAAAACCCUGAAAAGGGUCGCCAUUAGUCAAAAUUGACAUGACAGCACAUAGUUAAAAAUACAUGCUCAAAUAUCAAAAAUCAAUGUAUUCAUGAAGGCUUUCACGGCCAGGAUCUAAUGGUUGUUGUGGGUUUUUCGGGCUCUUUGGCCGUGUUCUGAAGGUUAUUCUUCCUAACGUUUCGCCAGUCUCUGUGGCCGGCAUCUUCAGAGGACAGCACUCUGUGCUCUACACCAGAGUGCUGUCCUCUGAAGAUGCCAGCCACAGAGACUGGAGAAAUGUUAGGAAGAACAACCUUCAGAACAUGGCCAAAGAGCCCGAAAAAUCUACCACAACCAUCAAAAAUCAAAUUUAAAGUCCUAUAUUGUGUACCCACUUUGGAUUACAUGAUGGGUGACUCAAGCGGCUUUAUAGUUAAGAUUGAUGGCAGGUCUCUAUGUCAUAUCUCACAAUGAUGAGGUCUGUCCCCCUGGCUUUUGGCAACCUCUGAAAAUUACCACCUUCUGAAAAUUAAGAGGCCUUUACUUCUGUCUUUUGGCCAAGUGAACAAUGGGCAGAGGCAAUUAUGGGAUGAAAAUGUUUUUUAAAUCCUCCUCCCUGAGUAGGACUCGUUUUGGUAGAAUACAGCCAGGGCUGUCACUGAUAUGAGACAACUGGGGCUUUCCCCCAGAACAGAAAAGGUGGUUGGUAUACCAGCUACCACUGAGACAACAGAGGACAGGUAUUUGCAAGGUUUUGUCAACAAACCGGUGACCUAGGUUUUGAAGAAGAGGCAAGAUCGAGACAGUGAUCUUGUUUGCCUCAGCUGUUGAUCCCCUGUGAAGGAGAGAGAGAUGCUGACAAGGUGUAAUUGCUAUAGAUGUGCCAU
RNAcentral lists this long non-coding RNA (1279 nucleotides) under Pogona vitticeps (central bearded dragon). Its description in RNAcentral is "lncRNA (ENSPVIG00000014309.1)". The record is from RNAcentral. Lineage: Eukaryota; Metazoa; Chordata; Lepidosauria; Squamata; Agamidae.